RNAcentral lists this ribosomal RNA (683 nucleotides) under uncultured bacterium. Its description in RNAcentral is "bacterial SSU rRNA". It matches the Rfam family "Bacterial small subunit ribosomal RNA", at positions 33 to 711 of the family's 1533-position model. The record is from RNAcentral.
ACGCUGGCGGCAGGCCUAACACAUGCAGGUCGAGCGGUAGAGAGAAGCUUGCUUCUCUUGAGAGCGGCGGACGGGUGAGUAAUGCCUAGGAAUCUGCCUGGUAGUGGGGGAUAACGUCCGGAAACGGACGCUAAUACCGCAUACGUCCUACGGGAGAAAGCAGGGGACCUUCGGGCCUUGCGCUAUCAGAUGAGCCUAGGUCGGAUUAGCUAGUUGGUGGGGUAAUGGCUCACCAAGGCGACGAUCCGUAACUGGUCUGAGAGGAUGAUCAGUCACACUGGAACUGAGACACGGUCCAGACUCCUACGGGAGGCAGCAGUGGGGAAUAUUGGACAAUGGGCGAAAGCCUGAUCCAGCCAUGCCGCGUGUGUGAAGAAGGUCUUCGGAUUGUAAAGCACUUUAAGUUGGGAGGAAGGGCAGUAAAUUAAUACUUUGCUGUUUUGACGUUACCGACAGAAUAAGCACCGGCUAACUCUGUGCCAGCAGCCGCGGUAAUACAGAGGGUGCAAGCGUUAAUCGGAAUUACUGGGCGUAAAGCGCGCGUAGGUGGUUCGUUAAGUUGGAUGUGAAAUCCCCGGGCUCAACCUGGGAACUGCAUUCAAACUGACGAGCUAGAGUAUGGUAGAGGGGUGGUGGAAUUUCCUGUGUAGCGGUGAAAUGCGUAGAUAUAGGAAGGAACACCA